This 408-nucleotide ribosomal RNA is filed under the name uncultured bacterium. RNAcentral describes it as "partial 16S ribosomal RNA". It matches the Rfam family "Bacterial small subunit ribosomal RNA", at positions 28 to 526 of the family's 1533-position model. The record is from RNAcentral.
GACGAACGCUGGCGGCGUGCUUAACACAUGCAAGUCGAACGAAGUGGCGAACGGGUGAGUAACGCGUAAUCAACCUGCCCUUCAGAGGGGGACAACAGUUGGAAACGACUGCUAAUACCGCAUACUGAAGGAGGGGAUUGCGUCUGAUUAGCUAGUUGGAGGGGUAACGGCCCACCAAGGCGAUGAUGGGUAGCCGGACUGAGAGGGUGACAGGGCACAAGGGGACAGAGACACGGCCAUUACGCAUACGGGAGGCAGCAGUGGGGAAUAUUGGACAAUGGACCAAAGUCUGAUGAAGCAAUUCGGGGUGAAAGAUGAAGUUUUUCGGAAUGUAGAGUGCUUUCAGUUGGGAAGCGGUACCAACAGAAGAAGUGACGGCUAAAUACGUGCCAGCAGCCGCGGUAAUUC